RNAcentral lists this ribosomal RNA (500 nucleotides) under uncultured bacterium. RNAcentral describes it as "bacterial SSU rRNA". It matches the Rfam family "Bacterial small subunit ribosomal RNA", at positions 8 to 525 of the family's 1533-position model. The record is from RNAcentral.
AGAGUUUGAUCCUGGCUCAGGACGAACGCUGGCGGCGUGCUUAACACAUGCAAGUCGAGCGGUAAGGCCCUUCGGGGUACACGAGCGGCGAACGGGUGAGUAACACGUGGGUAACCUGCCCUGUACUCUGGGAUAAGCCUUGGAAACGAGGUCUAAUACCGGAUACGACCAUUGAUCGCAUGAUCGGUGGUGGAAAGUUCCGGCGGUAUGGGAUGGACCCGCGGCCUAUCAGCUUGUUGGUGGGGUAAUGGCCUACCAAGGCGACGACGGGUAGCCGGCCUGAGAGGGUGACCGGCCACACUGGGACUGAGACACGGCCCAGACUCCUACGGGAGGCAGCAGUGGGGAAUAUUGCACAAUGGGCGAAAGCCUGAUGCAGCGACGCCGCGUGAGGGAUGACGGCCUUCGGGUUGUAAACCUCUUUCAGCAGGGACGAAGCGCAAGUGACGGUACCUGCAGAAGAAGCACCGGCUAACUACGUGCCAGCCGCCGCGGUAAUU